GAGAAUAUUCGACAAUGGGCGAAAGCCUGAUCGAGCGACGCCGCGUGCGGGAAGAAGGCCUUCGGGUCGUAAACCGCGAUAGCAGGGGAAGAAGCCUUGUGCGUAGCACAAGAACUAAAAAACUAAAGAACCUAUAAACCAAAGAACAACUUGUUCUUACGUUUUUACGUUCAUGUGUUUUUCGGUUCUCGCGCUACGCGCGAGGUUGACGGUACCCUGUGGAAAGAGGUGGGUAACUACGUGCCAGCACCAGCGGUAAAACGUAGACCUCAAGCGUUAUCCGGAUUUAUUGGGCGUAAAGCGUGUGUAGGAUGUUCGGUGCGUCUUUUGUUAAAUCUCGGGGCUCAACCCUGAGGCUGCAAGAGAUACGGCCGAACUAGAGGACGUCAGAGGCCAGUGGAACGCACGGUGUAGGGGUGAAAUCCGUUGAUAUCGUGCGGAACACCAAAGGCGAAGGCAGCUGGCUGGGACGUUCCUGACUCUGAGACACGAAAGCGUGGGGAGCAAAAAGGAUUAGAUACGAAAUCUUUGUGGAGGGUUUUCCUUUUGCCCGUAGAAACAAAGAGCCCCGAUGUAAAUCGGGGUUGUCAAAGGUGUCCCCCUCGACGGCGACGUCGGGGUGAGCAUCUAGCUGUAUCGGGGAACUCCGUCCUGUCGGACGGACAAUCCCGAGGGAAGUCGACAGAAUGCAAAAUUGAAAGUUCAAAUUUCAUUUUGUUUGACCCCGUAGAGACUAUGAAAUUGAGUUAAGAUAGUUGGCGCAUUAUGUCAUGAGCGUAUAAAAUAAUAAUAUGCAAAAUGAUAAAAAGUAUGUGCCUUUGUCGGAUCAAGCGCGAGCCGUUAUUUUAGGAACAAUCCUAGGAGACGGUUCGUUGAAGAUUCAAAAAAAAUGUGCCAAUGCGAAUUUACAAAUUCGUCAUUCGGAAACACAAAAAGAUUAUCUCUUAUGGAAAGCAGAUAUGCUUCAAGAGAUAGCGCGAGAGAAAAGUAUUAGUGUCCAAAGGGCCGACGGUUUCAGCGUAAACAGCAAGUGGCGGUUUAUAAGCAGAAAUCUGCCAGCGUUAACUGAAUUGCAUCGCUUAACGUAUAAAAAUAACCGAUUGCGCAUUAGACGCACUUGGCUGAACCGAAUGACCCCGUUAUCGCUCGCCGUAUGGUGGUGUGAUGAUGGCUCACUUAUUAGUUACGGAGGAAGAAAGGGAGUAUUUUGUACCGAUGGCUUUGACAAAGAAUCUGUCAAAAUACUAUCUCGCUACCUUAAAGUAGUAUGGGAUAUAAAAAAUAUCGUAUCUCCCAUAUCCCGUAUCUAUAAAGGAGAGCGGCGGCAAUAUUGGCGGAUAUGGAUCAGAUCGCAGGAGGAAUUAAAAAAGUUUCUUCGCAUCAUUCUGCCGCAUAUACCAACGCCGGACAUGUUGCGCAAAGCAAUACUUCUCUAUAAAGAUUCUCAAUUUCAAGAACGCUGGAUAUCUGAGGUUGUAAGUUUGAGCCGCUUUCCUCGUUCGGUUAUUUUAUCCGAAUACGAGAAGAAACUGGCUCGAUGGACGGCUUUCAGAUAAAGAUAUAGUCCGGACUCUAUGGCAACAUAGAGAAGCCGACAGAAAUGUUCGGCUCGCGUGACAAUAAUACUAUUGUCGCGAAGUAACAAAUUCAACCCUUGUAGUCCACGCCCUAAACGAUGCCUGCUGGCUGUUUCGAGUAUCGACCCUCGGAGUGGCGAAGCUAACGCGUUAAGCAGGCCGCCUGGGAAGUACGAGCGCAAGCUUAAAACUCAAAGGAAUAGACGGGGACUCGCACAAGCGGUGGAGCAUGAGGUUUAAUUCGAUACUAAACGAGGAACCUUACCAGGGCUAGAAAUCUUGACGAAGACAUGCUGAAAGGCGUGUUGUCUCUCAAGGACGUCAGGACAGGUGCUGCAUGGUUGUCGUCAGCUCGUAUCGUGAGACGUUCCCUUAAGUGGGGAAACGAGCGCAACCCCUAUUGUCUGUUAUACGUGUCAGGCAAAACUGCCCAGCACUUUGCGCACAAGCGCAAAGAAAUCCUAAAUUCGAAAUCCUAAUCUCUAAACAAUCUCAAAAUUCCAAAUUCAAAUGUUCCAAACGUUUCGAAUUUGAGAUUUGAUUUUUAAAAUUUGUUUAGGAUUUAGAUAUUAGAGUUUAGAAAUUGCUUUGUUCGUUUGCGAACAAAGUGCUGGGAGGAAGGAGGGGACGACGUCAAAUCCGCAUGGCCCUCUGAUGCCCUGGGCUACACUCGUGCUACAAUGACCGGUACAAAGGGUUGCCAAACCGUAAGGUGGAGCUAAUCCCUUAAAACCGGCCCAAGUUCGGAUUGAGGGCUGCAACUCGCCCUCAUGAAGUCGGAAUCGCUAGUAAUCGCGGAUCAGCUAUGCCGCGGUGAAUACGUUCUCGAGUCCUGUACUCACCGCCCGUCACGUCAAGGAAGCCGGGAAUACCUAAAACUCCGUUUUGCGGGGUUAGGGUAAGUUCGGUGACACGGACGAAGUCGUAACAAGGCACGCGUAGCGGAAGCUGUGCGUGGAUU
Molecule: ribosomal RNA, 2538 nt
Filed under: Parcubacteria group bacterium GW2011_GWB1_45_9
Lineage: Bacteria
Description: partial 16S ribosomal RNA
Rfam family: Bacterial small subunit ribosomal RNA (bases 1538-2538)
Source: RNAcentral